UGCAUGUUACUGAUUUAUACUGAUUUAUUUGAUUUAAAAAUGGUAAUUAAUUACUUUUUCUUGCCUGGUUAUAGAUUGUUGUCCCACAAAUGAGAAGGAGUUGCAGUUAAUUUUGGUGCUACUAAAACAACCGAUGCUUUUGACGUCUUCGCCUUGCAACAUUAUGCAGUUAAUUUUUGCCGUAACAAUGGGAGGCAAUUAGAAAUUAAUUAAUUAAUUUGGAAGCAACCGGAACUACAAAUUAUCUGCAGUGGUACACUCCUAGAUUUGGUUGUUUUGCUCAUCACACUGGUAGACUUUAGAACGCCACUUUCUACAAUUAAUUGAGGUUAUACAAUAAAUGAGAGAGAAUUAAUGCUCAGUUUGGUUAUAUUGAAACAGCCCGUGUCUACAUGGGUGUGGUCUUUCCUGGAUUAUAUUCUUGAUUUGCUGUUUCAUCUUCGCCUUGUAACAUCAUGCAGUUAAUUUUCAACCUAUGAGCUACUAGUGCAACUGGAUAUUUAUUUGAAUUCCACGGAAAUAAGAAAUUCUCUGCUGCAGUAUUUCUCCUGGAGUUGGUUUACUUUUCACAACUGUAAACUUUGGAAUGUUACGUUCUAUAAUUUAUUAAGAUCGACGUUGGAGAAGACAAAGAUG
Molecule: long non-coding RNA, 636 nt
Organism: Agrilus planipennis (emerald ash borer)
Lineage: Eukaryota; Metazoa; Arthropoda; Insecta; Coleoptera; Buprestidae
Exons: 3
Source: RefSeq, a predicted model, not a curated record